GACGAACGCUGGCGGCGCGCCUAACACAUGCAAGUCGAACGGAGUCACGAGGAGCUUGCUUUUCUUGACUUAGUGGCGCACGGGUGAGUAACGCGUGAGUAACCUGCCCUGGAGUGGGGGACAACAGUUGGAAACGACUGCUAAUACCGCAUAAGCCCACGGAUCCGCAUGGAUCUGCGGGAAAAGGAUUUAUUCGCUUCAGGAUGGACUCGCGUCCAAUUAGCUAGUUGGUGAGGUAACGGCCCACCAAGGCGACGAUUGGUAGCCGGACUGAGAGGUUGAACCGCGACAUUGGGACUGAGACACGGCCCAGACUCCUACGGGAGGCAGCAGUGGGGGAUAUUGCACAAUGGGGGAAACCCUGAUGCAGCGACGCCGCGUGGAGGAAGAAGGUUUUCGGAUUGUAAACUCCUGUCGUUAGGGACGAUAAUGACGGUACCUAACAAGAAAGCACCGGCUAACUACGUG
Molecule: ribosomal RNA, 468 nt
Filed under: uncultured bacterium
Lineage: Bacteria
Description: partial 16S ribosomal RNA
Rfam family: Bacterial small subunit ribosomal RNA
Source: RNAcentral